RNAcentral lists this ribosomal RNA (689 nucleotides) under uncultured Flavobacterium sp. Its description in RNAcentral is "bacterial SSU rRNA". It matches the Rfam family "Bacterial small subunit ribosomal RNA", at positions 570 to 1266 of the family's 1533-position model. Lineage: Bacteria; Pseudomonadati; Bacteroidota; Flavobacteriia; Flavobacteriales; Flavobacteriaceae. The record is from RNAcentral.
CGUAGGCGGUUUAAUAAGUCAGUGGUGAAAUCUGGUCGCUCAACGAUCAAACGGCCAUUGAUACUGUUAGACUUGAAUUAUUAGGAAGUAACUAGAAUAUGUAGUGUAGCGGUGAAAUGCUUAGAUAUUACAUGGAAUACCAAUUGCGAAGGCAGGUUACUACUAAUGGAUUGACGCUGAUGGACGAAAGCGUGGGGAGCGAACAGGAUUAGAUACCCUGGUAGUCCACGCCGUAAACGAUGGAUACUAGCUGUUGGGAGCAAUCUCAGUGGCUAAGCGAAAGUGAUAAGUAUCCCACCUGGGGAGUACGUUCGCAAGAAUGAAACUCAAAGGAAUUGACGGGGGCCCGCACAAGCGGUGGAGCAUGUGGUUUAAUUCGAUUAUACGCGAGGAACCUUACCAAGGCUUAAAUGUAGUUUGACCGGUUUGGAAACAGAUCUUUCGCAAGACAAAUUACAAGGUGCUGCAUGGUUGUCGUCAGCUCGUGCCGUGAGGUGUCAGGUUAAGUCCUAUAACGAGCGCAACCCCUGUUGUUAGUUGCCAGCGAGUCAUGUCGGGAACUCUAACAAGACUGCCAGUGUAAACUGUGAGGAAGGUGGGGAUGACGUCAAAUCAUCACGGCCCUUACGCCUUGGGCUACACACGUGCUACAAUGGACGGUACAGAGAGCAGCCACUUCGCAAGGAGGA